ACCUCCUCCCCCUUCCCCACCACCACCUUCCUCGGCCACCGGCGGCGGCGACAAUGGUGCAGGGACGCCAGGGCCAGCGCGUCAGGCUCUACGUGCGGGGCACCAUCCUGGGCUACAAGAGGUCCAAGUCGAACCAGUACGAGAGCACGUCGCUGCUCCAGGUGGAGGGGGUGAGCACCAAGGAGGACGUGUCGUACUACGCCGGCAAGCGCAUCGCCUACGUCUACAAGGCCAAGACCAAGAGCAGCGGCACCACCGUCCGCUGCAUCUGGGGCAAGGUCACGCGCCCCCACGGCAACUCCGCCGUCGUGCGCGCGCAGUUCCGGUCCAACCUCCCCGCCACCUCCAUGGGCAAGAAGGUCCGCGUCUUCAUGUACCCCAGCAGCACCUAAAGGGCGCGUAGCACAGUUGUGCGUGAGGCGCGCAAGGGGCCGGGCAGGGCGGUGCUGCGACGAUGGCCUCUGGCGAGGCAUAGGUGUGUUGGGUGGAGCUGCAUGGUUUUGCGCCGUGCUGGGCGAGUUGGGAGCAUCUGGCGAGGCGCGAGCGGCACAAGGGGUCCGACAGUGACACUGUGCGGGUGCACAAGGGACUGGGAUCUAUCGUCUGGAGGUCGUGCAGUGGCACGGGGAGGUGCUGCUGUUGGUGCGGCAUGGUGGAGCAGUCUUGUGGUGAUGGAGCACGGCUGCAUCUUUGUCCGUCGAAUCUGCUGUCUCUGUCCUCCGGUGGGCACGCGUAUGGAGCUUGGACGUGGCUGGAAACCGAGGUGGUUCUUGCCCUCGGGUUGCACACCUCUGGUCACUCGCCGGCAUGGUUCUCGGCAAGGCAUGGUGGUUUGUGCUGUGUCCGAUGGCCUGGCUUCCGGUCGACGGUUGACAGAUUUAACGGCUGGCGCUGCAUGUGGCCGCCCGUUGGCCUCCGCAAGGUGUGGUUGGUCUCUCCGGCGGCGGGCUUCUUUGACUUCGGUGGAGUUGUUGAUGGCGGUGCGGGUAGGAUGUUUGGAAGCUUUGGUGAAGACCCUGUAUGUCUUGGCUUCGGUAGGUGACCGGUGA
RNAcentral lists this ribosomal RNA (1049 nucleotides) under Triticum aestivum (bread wheat). RNAcentral describes it as "partial small subunit ribosomal RNA". Lineage: Eukaryota; Viridiplantae; Streptophyta; Magnoliopsida; Poales; Poaceae. The record is from RNAcentral.